RNAcentral lists this ribosomal RNA (400 nucleotides) under phytoplankton environmental sample. RNAcentral's name for it is "partial small subunit ribosomal RNA". It matches the Rfam family "Eukaryotic small subunit ribosomal RNA", at positions 587 to 971 of the family's 1831-position model. The record is from RNAcentral.
AGCUCCAAUAGCGUAUAUUAAUUCUGUUGCAAUUGAAAAGCUCGUAGUUGGAUUUUUGGAUAACAGCGUACGGUGUGCCGCGAGGCAUUUUUACUGUAUGUGUUGUUGUCUAUUCUAUUUUUUGUGCGGGUAAGAGAUGGCUGGAUGUCUUUCGGGGCGUUCGCUGUUGUUUCCGCGCAGUUUACUGUGAAAAAAUUAGAGUGUUCCAAGCAGGCAAUUGCGCUUGAAUACAUUAGCAUGGAAUGAAAAAAUAGGAAUUUGGUCUUAUUUUGUUGGUUUCUAGGGCCGAAUUAAUGAUUGAUAGGGACAGUUGGGGGCAUUAGUAUUUAAUUGUCAGAGGUGAAAUUCUUGGAUUUAUGAAAGACUAACUACUGCGAAAGCAUUUGCCAAGGAUGUUUUC